AGCUCUGUGGUGUAAUUGGCAACAUCCCGCCCUUUGAAGGCGAAGAUUUCAGGUACUCUUCGAGAAGCCGCUUCGCGUCUACGACCCCUGGCAGGGCUGCCA
This 102-nucleotide transfer RNA is filed under the name Nostoc sp. FACHB-110. Its description in RNAcentral is "tRNA-Gln". The record is from RNAcentral. Lineage: Bacteria; Bacillati; Cyanobacteriota; Cyanophyceae; Nostocales; Nostocaceae.